CGAAGAAUCCAGUAUGAUUAAUUCAAGCACGGCUGAUAAGUUGAUUGAAGCAGAGGAGGGGACAGAUGGAAAUGAGGAGAACAUCGCCACUUCAGCUUCAAGCCCUUGAGAAAUUCCAUGCUGAGCACAAGUAUCCUACGCAUAUAGCUAUUGAAGAACUUGCUGCAGUCUUGGGCUUGACAUUGAAGCUGGUUCAGGGAUGGUUUAUUGAGCAGGUCGAGGGAUGGUUUAUGUCUACUGAACCCCUCUGUUUGAGCAAGAAAUUUUUAGUUGUUAAAGGAAGAAAAGGGUUGCGAGUUGCCUUUGCUAAUAGAAAGAUACAUAAAUAGCAGGACAGCCUGAUUAUGGAUGCAUCUUCAGAGGCUUCAGACAGGAUUCAUAAAAAUAAGAGGAAGAAGUUUGCAUUGCAAGCUGAACCACCUUUGCUUCUGAAAAGAAUCACCGUGUUGCAUUUCUGGUCUGAACUCGGGCGGUCGAGCAAUAUAUACAAGUUUUUGUAGAGCAGAGCUUUGAUAUUUCCAAUUUUUUACUAUUGCUGUGCUAUGGCAGUCAAUUAGAUUAUGUACAGCAUUAAAAUAGAUAUCCAUAAUCAGGAAAUUUUAGUUUUUGAAACAUAUUUUUACCAUGACCCUUAGUAGCAAAAAUAACAUCGAUUCCCUUGUUUUCUUGUAGAAAAAGGAUAUUUUUGCUACUUCAGGUAUUUGGUUGAAUCAAAUUUUGUAAAUGUAUGCUUGACAGUCCAAUUAUUUUGAGGGAAAAUAAAAUGUUGUCAAUGUAAAGAGCACAAUGCUGAAGCUUACUUUU
Long non-coding RNA from Hevea brasiliensis (rubber tree), 804 nucleotides. RefSeq lists it as uncharacterized. NCBI's taxonomy places the organism in Eukaryota, Viridiplantae, Streptophyta, Magnoliopsida, Malpighiales, Euphorbiaceae. The transcript is spliced from 2 exons. The record is from RefSeq and is a predicted model, not a curated record.